Molecule: transfer RNA, 83 nt
Filed under: Colletotrichum godetiae
Lineage: Eukaryota; Fungi; Ascomycota; Sordariomycetes; Glomerellales; Glomerellaceae
Also listed under: 2 other names
Description: tRNA-Arg
Rfam family: tRNA
About the family: Transfer RNA (tRNA) molecules are approximately 80 nucleotides in length. Their secondary structure includes four short double-helical elements and three loops (D, anti-codon, and T loops).
Source: RNAcentral
GGCCGGUUGGCCCAAUGGCAAGGCGUCUGACUACGAUUCAACGUGUAAUCAGGAGAUUCUGGGUUCGACCCCCAGGCUGGUCA